UACGGAGGAUGCGAGCGUUAUCCGGAUUUAUUGGGUUUAAAGGGUGCGCAGGCGGACUCUCAAGUCAGCGGUCAAAUCGCGGGGCUCAACCCCGUUCCGCCGUUGAAACUGGUGGUCUUGAGUGGAUGAGAAGUACGCGGAAUGCGUGGUGUAGCGGUGAAAUGCAUAGAUAUCACGCAGAACUCCGAUUGCGAAGGCAGCGUACCGGCGCGCAACUGACGCUCAUGCACGAAAGCGUGGGUAUCGAACAGG
RNAcentral lists this ribosomal RNA (252 nucleotides) under uncultured bacterium. Its description in RNAcentral is "partial 16S ribosomal RNA". It matches the Rfam family "Bacterial small subunit ribosomal RNA", at positions 524 to 776 of the family's 1533-position model. The record is from RNAcentral.